Molecule: long non-coding RNA, 1492 nt
Filed under: Fukomys damarensis (Damara mole-rat)
Lineage: Eukaryota; Metazoa; Chordata; Mammalia; Rodentia; Bathyergidae
Description: lncRNA (ENSFDAG00000024668.1)
Source: RNAcentral
UAGUUUCUCUAGGUGUGUUCCCAUGGCAGAAACAAACAACAAACAACCCCUCAAGCUUCUGCUUGUGUCACAAUGGCUAGCAUUCUAUCAGCCAAAGCAAGUUCCAUGUCGAGGCCCAAAAUUAAAGGUAGGUGGGUUACAUUCUAUCCACUAAGAUGAAGGGAGGGAGUACUUGCUAGUCAGAGGUCUCAGCUGCCACAGUGAUUAAACCAGGAUUCAAUCAUGAUUUGGUCAUGACUUUCCCUCACAUUCAUCACCAAAUCCUAUAAGUGGGCAGUUGCCAUGGCUAGAGAUAGUCCAUGCUUCCAGCCCUAACUCAAGGCAUGCAGUCAGGGCUGAGCACGCUCUCCUCAGAGCUGAGCCCUUCAACUGGAUUGUUCCUCCCACUGCAGCUGGGGGUCAGACAGCCCUCUAGGGUAUGGUCCUGUCAUUCUGUGCCCUCCCCGAUCCGGCUUCAGCUCUUGGUUUUGGCACAUGCUCCUACCUUCCUAGAUACAGCCCAAGCUUUUUGCAGAUUCUGUUACACCCACACCCACCCACACACAGCAGACUUUCCUGGUUUGCCACAAGAAGCUGUCAUGUCUGGUUGUGCCAGAUGUGCACAAAAGCUCCCAGUUAAAGAGCCUCAGGGGGAUAAGAUGCAGCCUAUACAGUAACACCAAACUGUACAUCCUAGCUUGAGACUACAUCAGCCCAGAGGAGAGAGUACCUUCUCUUCACACAAGCAUCACUGCCAGCCAAGCCAGGUCAUCGCUACCGCUUUGUGGGCUGAGGUGACAUUUGAAACGGCUCACAAAAAUGCUUUGUAAGCUGCAUUUUUCAAGCCACUGUCUGGAGGGGUUUGGAUCUAGACUGGCUGCAGGCAAUGGUCCAGUUCAUCCUUGCUGUUCUGGGAGCUUCCAGGCCAGCUACUGAGUCCAGAUGAAUGAACUCGGAGUCACCAGACAACAAAACCCGACAAAACAUAACCUUGAAGCCUCAAGAAAGGGAUCGAAGAAGGGUCUGCAAAGCCAAGCUGAAACAGCCCUAUUCCUGCAGGAGACACUCAAUGAAACGAUUCCUGUAGCGUGGGCAGAUAAGGAGCACCUCACAUCCCCAGAGAGUACAGCAGCACUCACUUCAGCAGGCCUAAGACAGCAACUGUCUCCAUCUCCCCAGACCCUGCCAGCAUGGGGCCAGCACCUCCACAGGCUGGAAGCGGCUGUUCUCCAAGUGGCGAUGAAGACAGCUUUAAUGGGCUUACAGUCACGUGUCCCUCAAAGGCCAGCCCCCCUGGACGGCUGUUUGCAAACUCCUCUCCAAAGCUGCUUCCCUUGAAGAGAGUUGCUACACAAUCAUUACAAAUUGAUUGCAAAAGAGCUAACAAUCAUGAUUAAAUCAUUAAAUUCUUGUCUACGCUUCAGAGAGCGGUGAGAAAAUUAACUUCCCACCAACCUAAUUUUUUCCUGAACAUGAAAUAAUGAUUUUCUGCCCGUCUAAUUACAAAGCCAAC